GUCGUAACAAGGUUUGCCGUGAGGUGAACCUGCGGAUGGAUCAUUAAUUAUGUUAAAGCGCCUUACCUCUUAGGGUUUCCUCUGGGGUAAGUGAUUGCUUCUACACUGUGAAAAUUUGGCUGAGAGACUCAGACUGGUCAUGGGUAGACCUAUCUGGGGUUUGAUCGAUGCCACUCCUGGUUUCAGGAGCACCCUUCAUAAUAAACCUAGAAAUUCAGUAUUAUAAAGUUUAAUAAAAAACAACUUUUAACAAUGGAUCUCUUGGUUCUCGCAUCGAUGAAGAACGUAGCAAAGUGCGAUAACUAGUGUGAAUUGCAUAUUCAGUGAAUCAUCGAGUCUUUGAACGCAGCUUGCACUCUAUGGUUUUUCUAUAGAGUACGCCUGCUUCAGUAUCAUCACAAACCCACACAUAACAUUUGUUUAUGUGGUAAUGGGUCGCAUCGCUGUUUUAUUACAGUGAGCACCUAAAAUGUGUGUGAUUUUCUGUCUGGCUUGCUAGGCAGGAAUAUUACGCUGGUCUCAGGAUCUUUUUCUUUGGUUCGCCCAGGAAGUAAAGUACAAGAGUAUAAUCCAGCAACUUUCAAACUAUGAUCUGAAGUCAGGUGAGCGCAAUUACCCGCUGAACUUAAGCAUAUCAAU
RNAcentral lists this ribosomal RNA (639 nucleotides) under Rhizopus delemar. RNAcentral's name for it is "eukaryotic LSU rRNA". The stretch from base 242 to 395 matches the Rfam family "5.8S ribosomal RNA". The record is from RNAcentral. Lineage: Eukaryota; Fungi; Mucoromycota; Mucoromycetes; Mucorales; Rhizopodaceae.